ACGGGUGAGUAACACGUGGGUGAUCUGCCCUGCACUUUGGGAUAAGCCUGGGAAACUGGGUCUAAUACCGAAUACACCCUGCUGGUCGCAUGGCCUGGUGGGGGAAAGCUUUUGCGGUGUGGGAUGGGCCCGCGGCCUAUCAGCUUGUUGGUGGGGUGAUGGCCUACCAAGGCGACGACGGGUAGCCGGCCUGAGAGGGUGUCCGGCCACACUGGGACUGAGAUACGGCCCAGACUCCUACGGGAGGCAGCAGUGGGGAAUAUUGCACAAUGGGCGCAAGCCUGAUGCAGCGACGCCGCGUGAGGGAUGACGGCCUUCGGGUUGUAAACCUCUUUCAAUAGGGACGAAGCGCAAGUGACGGUACCUAUAGAAGAAGCACCGGCCAACUACGUGCC
Molecule: ribosomal RNA, 395 nt
Filed under: uncultured bacterium
Lineage: Bacteria
Description: bacterial SSU rRNA
Rfam family: Bacterial small subunit ribosomal RNA
Source: RNAcentral